RNAcentral lists this ribosomal RNA (460 nucleotides) under uncultured bacterium. RNAcentral's name for it is "partial 16S ribosomal RNA". It matches the Rfam family "Bacterial small subunit ribosomal RNA", at positions 338 to 795 of the family's 1533-position model. The record is from RNAcentral.
CCUACGGGAGGCAGCAGUGAGGAAUAUUGGUCAAUGGGCGCGAGCCUGAAGCAGCCAAGUAGCGUGAAGGAUGACUGCCCUACGGGCUGUAAACUUCUUUUAUAAAGGAAUAAAGUGAGGCACGUGUGCCUUUUUGUAUGUACUUUAUGUAUAAGGAUCGGCUAACUCCGUGCCAGCAGCCGCGGUAAUACGGUGGAUCCGAGCGUUAUCCGGAUUUAUUGGGUUUAAAGGGAGCGUAGAUGGGUUGUUAAGUCAGUUGUGAAAGUUUGCGGCUCAACGGUGAAAUUGCAAUUGAUACUGGCAGCCUUGAGUACAGUAGAGGAAGGCGGAAUUCGUGGUGUAGCGGUGAAAUGCGUAGAUAGCACGAAGAACACAGAUUGCGAAGGCAGCUUACUAAACUGCCACUGACAUUGAGGCUCGAAAGUGUGGGUAUCAAACAGGAUUAGAUACCCUGGUAGUC